Molecule: long non-coding RNA, 681 nt
Filed under: Mustela putorius furo (domestic ferret)
Lineage: Eukaryota; Metazoa; Chordata; Mammalia; Carnivora; Mustelidae
Description: lncRNA (ENSMPUG00000030528.1)
Source: RNAcentral
GAAGGAUAUGGCUUAGAGCUCUUCCUCAUGGCUACACCUCUCAGGAAUGUUUCCAGACUGCCUUGUAGAGAUGGAUGGUAGACACCCAGAGCCAGAGGAAGGAAUUAUUAAGCCUGAUUAUCUCCAAAGCACCUGCCAGCUUGGACAUUCUAUGAAACAAGUGAGAUCACGAAAGAUGUGAAACAUGUUAGAGUGAAGGUUUGCAUACGGGAUAGAGCAAGGGUCACAGAACACUCUGCUGCGGAGGUAAGCUGCGACCGUCUAGCCUUCUGGGAGUGUGCGAAGCCCCUCAACCACAAGGAUCCAGACUGGGAGCAAGAUGUUGUGUCUGAACACCCUCAGGACAGAGAACCAGAAUCUCUGCUGAGUUCCUGUCACCACCCCCGCCCCCUGCUUUUACCUGUGUCACCCAAACUCUCUGGGGAUGGCAACACCUACCUCACAUAUUACUGUGAUGAUUAAAUGUGAAAACACAUAUGAAAGGUCUUUGUAAACUCUGAAGUGCUUUAUACAUGGAAAAUAGAAUUAAUAUUCAUGAAAGAGGAAGAAAUAGAAGGGUACCUUAAAGGAUAGAUAGGCACUACCUAAGUGGGUGUCAGACACUAAAGUACAUACUUCAUAAAAAUCAAUCAUUUAGUCCUCCUGACAUGAGAUAGGAGUUAUUAUUUUUCCCAUUCUACA